AGUCAAGACCACUUGCAGGCAGAAAUCUUUUUUCUCUUUUAAUAUUCGUAUUGCGUAUACAUUCGGAUUGCACACAAGUUUAACUAUUAGGCUUGCACAGUUUUCUUAGACUUUUUUUUUUAAAGUUCACAAUCUAUUGAACCUAAGCAUGGCUGCAAACUGAAACUACAUAUAGCAAAAAUAAAAAUAAAAAAUAAAUCAUCAGAAUCCUUCAUACAAAGCUGUUUACUACUUGCGAAGUGUUGAUGAUCCCUGCACGUUUAAAGACACACGUGGCUUUGGAUUACGGAAUCAAUGCUCAUCAGCUACAUGUGACUGAUUUCAUCAUGAACUCUGACAAAAGCUGAGUUUCUCUGAAAACUGGCAACAUUCUCUUGAUUCCUGUUUCUUGGCUGGACUCAGUGUCCCUGGUGGUGAGCACACAACUUAUUUAAAAUGGCACAGAACUGCUCUAAUUCGGAGAUUCAAAGGUGUGAAGAUCUUCAAGCAUCUCAAGCCUCACACUUUCUUGUCAACGUGCUGUACAACAAGUGGACAGUAAGCACCUGGCUCUGUUUUUACUGCCUCAAGCAACAAAUUACGCUAAUGUUCACAUUUCUCUACUUCUAAAGAGAUUGAAUGAAUGCAAACCUCAAAAAGAGAUGGGGAAGGAUCACCUCCUCAGUGCCUGCUACCAGCUUCAAACCAUGGGGUCAGCACAGAGAGAAACUACUUCCUACAACUACUGCAAGCACAGAAGAACUCUGAUUUAGUAGAGGUUGGCAACCCCGCCUUUGGCAGAGAGUUCAUCAAGCCUCAGGAGAUCUGAGCUACAGAAAUUUACUAAACAGAUUCCAGGCUUGUUUUUUUAAAGCGCCAUAUCAAGAUUCUUGUACACUGAGGGGAUUGGGAAAACAACAUCCUUCUCAUCGUAAGCGAAGACCAGGUUUGUGACCACUUGAGGAACCUGAACAAAUCUAUCAGCCCCGAUGAGAUGCAUCCUAGAGCCCUGAGGGAACUGGCUGAUGUAGCCACCAAGCCAUUCCCAAUGAUAUUUGAAAAGUCCUGGCAAUCAGGUGAAGUCCCUGGUGAACUGUUAAAAAGGCAACAUCACACCCAUUAGUAAGAAAGGUAAAAGGAGGAUCCUGGAAACUACCGUCCUAUCAGUCUCAGCUCUGUGCUGGGAAAGAUCAUGGAGCAGAUCCUCCUGGAAACUAUGCCAAGGCACAUGAAAGAUAGGGAGGUGAUACUGGAGAAUCAGCAUGACUUCACCAUGAGCAAAUUCUGCUUGACCAACACAGUGGCCUUCUAUAAUAGUGUCACUGCAUCAAUGGACAAGGGAAGAGCCACUGAUGUCAUCUAUAUGGAGUUCAGCAAGGCUUCUGACAUGGUCUCCCAAAACAUUCUUCUCUCCAAAUUGGAAAGAUAUGGAUUUGAUGGAUGGACUGUUCAGUGGAUGAAGAAUCAGCUACAGGAUCAAGUCCAGAGAGUGGUGGUCAAUGGUUCCACAUCUGGAUGGAGACCAGUGAUGAGUGGUGUCCCUCAGGGUCAGUGCUGGGACUGAUACUCUUUAAUAUUUUCAUCAGUGACGUGGACAGUGGGGUCGAGCGCACCCUUAGCAAGUUUUCUGAUGACACCAAGCAGAGGGGUGCAGUCAACACACCAGAGCGACGGGAUGCCAUCCAGAGGGACCUAGACAGGCUGAAAAGUGGGCCCAGGUGAACCUCAUGAGGUUCAAUAAAUCCGAAUGCAAGAUCUUGCCCCAGAGUCACAGUAAUCCUCACUACCAAUAUAAGCUGGGAGACGAAAGGAUUGGGCAUAGCCCUGCUGAAAAGAACCUGGGGGUACUGGUGGAUGGGAAGCUGGAUAUUGAGCCAGCAAUGAGCCCUCACAGCCAACUGUAUCCUGGGAUGCAUCAAAAGAAGUAUGGCCAGCAGGUCAAGGGAGAUGACCUUGCUUCUAUGCUCUGCACUCCAAGGUCUCACCUGGAGUAUUGCUUCCAGGUGUGGAGUCCUCAGUACAGGGGAGACAUAGACCUUUUGGAACAUCACAAAAAUGAUCAAAGGGGUGGAACACCUUUCCUGUAAGGGCAAGCUGAAAGAGAUGGGGCUUUUCAGCCUGGAGAAGAGAAGGCUGCAAGGUGACCUGACAGCAGCCUUUCUAUAUCUAACAGGGAGCUACAGGAAAGAAAGGGACAGACUCUUUAGCUGUGUCUGUAGUAAUAGAACAAGGGGAAAUGCUUUCAAGCUCAAAGAGGGUAGAUUUAGGUUGGAUUUAAGGAAGAAGUUUUAACAGUGAGGGUGGUGAGGCACUGGAGCAGAUUGCCCACAGGGGUGGUGGAAGCCCCGUACUUCAAGACACUCAAGGUCAGGCUGGAUGGGGCUCAGAGCAGCCUGAUCUAGCUGUAGGUUUACUUGUUCAUUGCAGGGGAGCUGAACUAGAUGGCCUUUAAAGGGCCCUUCCAAACUCUAAAGUUUCUACGAUUCUAUGAUUCUAUUCUACGAAAAGAUAAACUUGCUGCAGACAAUGAGAUGAAAUGGGAUAGAUGCGCUGAAGUAUUGAUAGGUAGCUUACUUAUAUUACAGCCAGAUUUUGAAAGCUGAUUUAUGUAGGAAGGGAGAUACAACGUAAAAAUGUCAGACUUUAGCCAAAAUUUUCAAAGUAGUCAAAGUACUGCUUUUCUUGCAAUGUACUUUCAAACAUCUUUUGACUCAUAAAAAUUCAUUCAAACUACUUCUCUAGCCUAGUUAGGGGAUGAUCGACUAUUUGCAGCCAGUGAGAACAUGGAGUACCUAUUUCGUAGAAAUAUGCAGCUUACUCCGGUUAUAUGCAUAGAAAGUCAAAUUUCAGUAGCAAGUGUCCCAGGACCAUGAGAAAACAUCAAAUAAAUUGAUGAGAGCUGUACAAAAUCUAUUGUCAUAUUUUGAACCAAUGGAGAAAACAAACAAGACUGCAGAAACUAAUGUUCUUUUCUGACAGUUUGUUGUUAUGAGAAACAUGAAGAACACAUUUCUAUUGAAGAUAAAACUCAUCUAGCCACAAUCAGUGUUUAAUUGGAGAAUGUGAAUUAUUGAAUAUGUUCUUCUGUUCUCUUCAGGCUUUAAAACUAGAGCCAUGAAGACUCAAAUCGUGAUGUGAAAAAAAUCAAAAAGCACAUUGCUCUGAAUCAUUUUAUAAUGUUCUUUAUCUCUUUUUGACUUCAACAUUUUCAGCAGUAAAUUCAACUGAAGCUAAAAGCAAAAAAUAUUAAAGAUGAAUCACUUUGUACAUGGGCAGGGAAGAUAUUUUAAACAAACCAAAACUAAACAAUAAAUCUUUAUCAAGUCAAGCUCUGUUGCAGUUAGUAUAGUUUUCAUCAGCUCCUCUGCUUGUGACUACAGUGUCUGUCUGAUCCUAGAAACUCUUUACAGCUUUUAGUCUGUGUGCCCAGAUGUCAGUAAAAAGGUACCUGCCACAGGUACGGUUUUCUCUCUGAUGAUGUGUAUCCUACGGAAGGUUUUGUCAAAAGAGGACUUACUGAUACACUGCCCGAGGUAUCUUGGACUUGUCUCCAUCUGAGCUCCAAGGAGGUGAGUAGUCUACUCCGG
Long non-coding RNA from Gallus gallus (chicken), 3566 nucleotides. Lineage: Eukaryota; Metazoa; Chordata; Aves; Galliformes; Phasianidae. The record is from Ensembl.